GGUCCAGCUAAGUAUGGUGUCUAUUAUGUGCAUAUUUACUAUCAUGGUAAUACUUUGCUGCUUCAAAUGGCUUGUUGCAUGUAGUAGAUUUAUGAUUAAACUAAGAGAGGAUCACAAUGACUAUUAUAAAGGUUCCUCUACAAGUUGUGUGAUUUUCUGAAUUGAGAGAUUUGAAUUGAAAGCCUAAACUAGUAUUAGUAUAUAAAUGACCACUCUAGAGAAU
Molecule: unclassified non-coding RNA, 223 nt
Filed under: Hevea brasiliensis (rubber tree)
Lineage: Eukaryota; Viridiplantae; Streptophyta; Magnoliopsida; Malpighiales; Euphorbiaceae
Source: RNAcentral